Molecule: transfer RNA, 70 nt
Filed under: Geomys breviceps
Lineage: Eukaryota; Metazoa; Chordata; Mammalia; Rodentia; Geomyidae
Description: tRNA-Gln
Rfam family: tRNA
About the family: Transfer RNA (tRNA) molecules are approximately 80 nucleotides in length.
Source: RNAcentral
AGAAUUUGGUGUAAUUGGUAGCACUAAGAAGUUUGAGUUCUUGAGUCAGGUUCGAUUCCUGUAAUUCUAG